RNAcentral lists this ribosomal RNA (490 nucleotides) under uncultured bacterium. Its description in RNAcentral is "partial 16S ribosomal RNA". It matches the Rfam family "Bacterial small subunit ribosomal RNA", at positions 30 to 507 of the family's 1533-position model. The record is from RNAcentral.
AUUGAACGCUGGCGGCAGGCCUAACACAUGCAAGUCGAACGGUAACAGGAAGAAGCUUGCUUCUUUGCUGACGAGUGGCGGACGGGUGAGUAAUGUAUGGGAAACUGCCUGAUGGAGGGGGAUAACUACUGGAAACGGUAGCUAAUACCGCAUAACGUCGCAAGACCAAAGAGGGGGACCUUCGGGCCUCUUGCCAUCGGAUGUGCCCAGAUGGGAUUAGCUAGUAGGUGGGGUAACGGCUCACCUAGGCGACGAUCCCUAGCUGGUCUGAGAGGAUGACCAGCCACACUGGAACUGAGACACGGUCCAGACUCCUACGGGAGGCAGCAGUGGGGAAUAUUGCACAAUGGGCGCAAGCCUGAUGCAGCCAUGCCGCGUGUAUGAAGAAGGCCUUCGGGUUGUAAAGUACUUUCAGCGGGGAGGAAGGGAGUAAAGUUAAUACCUUUGCUCAUUGACGUUACCCGCAGAAGAAGCACCGGCUAACUCCGUG